GCGUUUUCACGUUGUCACGUUGUCACGUUGUCGUUGUUGCGUUUGUUACGUUGUUGCCUUGUCACGUCGUUACGUUGGAUGCUGUGACGCUGCGUCGGCAGGCGGCAUGGAGAACCGCGUCUCAAAUGUUUCAGGUUAAAUGCAGAAGCAAUUAAAGAAUUAUAAGAUGGCUCAUCACCUGUUUCAGAAAAGAAGAGUGACUCACAAGCAAGUCCCCUGCAGGAGAGUCCACUAUGGGCAGCAGGUCAACAGGCUCCCCUUCCUCGUUCUCCCUCUCUCUCCUCGGUGGUCCCUCCAUCAUCUCCUCCAGAGUCCUGUCCAGCUCCUCACAUUCCUCCUCCACCUCCUCCACCUCAGACACUGCUGCCACCACUGGUCUCUGGAGGUGAGGAGGCAGAGGUGAGGUGAUCUGAACGUCUGCAGCACCCCCUCCCUGGUCAUUGGAUCGCUUCUUCUGCUUCUCCACCUUCUUCUUGA
Molecule: long non-coding RNA, 477 nt
Organism: Notolabrus celidotus (New Zealand spotty)
Lineage: Eukaryota; Metazoa; Chordata; Actinopteri; Labriformes; Labridae
Exons: 4
Source: RefSeq, a predicted model, not a curated record